Molecule: ribosomal RNA, 243 nt
Filed under: uncultured bacterium
Lineage: Bacteria
Description: partial 16S ribosomal RNA
Rfam family: Bacterial small subunit ribosomal RNA
Source: RNAcentral
UAGGGAACCUGCCCAUGCGGCCGGGACAACUUCCGGAAACGGAUGCUGAUACCGGAUAAGGAAAGCGAAGGCAUCUUUGCUUUGUUAAAGGAGCUGCAAGGCUCCGCGCAUGGAUGGACCUGCGGUGCAUUAGCUGGUUGGUGAGGUAAAGGCUCACCAAGGCGGCGAUGCAUAGCCGGCCUGAGAGGGCGAACGGCCACACUGGGACUGAGACACGGCCCAGACUCCUACGGAAGGCAGCAG